UUAAAAACAAGGCAAUAGAACGAUCUACAAGAUGGGUUUUCCCGAAGCUGCCAGUUCUUUUAGAACUCAUCAAAUUGAGGCUGCUCCAACCAGCUCUCCAGGUGAUGGAUUUAAGGCAAAUCUUGUCUUUAAGGAGAUUGAGAAAAAGCUUGAAGAGGAAGGGGAACAGUAUGUGAAGAAAAUUGGUGGUAUUUUUGCCUUCAAGGUGAAGGAUGGCCCUGGGGGUAAAGAAGCCACCUGGGUGGUAGAUGUGAAGAACGGCAAAGGAUCAGUGCUUCCUAACUCAGAUAAGAAGGCUGAAUGCAGGAUCACAAUGGCUGACUCCGACUUACUGGCUUUAAUGACUGGUAAAAUGAAUCCUCAGUCGGCUUUCUUUCAGGGCAAAUUGAAAAUCACUGGAAAUAUGGGUCUGGCUAUGAAGUUACAAAAUCUUCAGCUUCAGCCAGCCAAAGCUAAGCUGUGAAGAACUUCCCUUUGACUACUUUUGAAAAUCAAGAUGAAAAAUAUAGAUAUGUAUCCAUAUAUUUCAUUGUCAGAAUUUAGACUGAGACUACAAAUUGGCAAAUUGUGUGAGAUAGAUUUGUUUUUCAAUGGGUAUGACCAAUCCUGUUUUUCCUAUGCUCUGGGUGAAUGGAGCCUGAUGGUGUACUACUGCUUUGCUGAAUUGCAUUCAACUAUGCAUUACAAAGUUAAUAUGGUAAUUAUGGUUUGGGGUAAAAUUGAGUUUCAGAAUAAAAUUAGGAACAGUAAAAUCCAAAAAAUUAUGUAAACAAAAGCUCUUAUUUUGCUUAUCAAGCAUAUUUAAGGAUUAUUCUACUGAAAAUUCAGUUUAAGAGUUUUCCUUGGAGAGAACUAGGGAAGAAACAAUACCAAUAGCCAGUCAGUAAUUAGCGUUAUGCACUUAAUGACCUUAAUCAAUCUCUCAUUAAUAGUUCUUAAAAUUCUGUACCAGGAUUAAAAAAAACCAAAAACUUAAAAAUGUUGCGUUUCCUGCCAUCAGAAACAGUAUUUUCUUCCCAAAUCAAAAUAAAAGAAAUAUGAUCACAGCUUGGGAGGGGGGGAUGUGUAACUGAACACAGGCCUAUUUUUAAAAUAAAAAUAUUUUAAAAUAUUUUAAAAAUGGGUUUCCUUCUUUAAAAAUUAGUGUAUUAAAGUCAUAAAACACUGUUGUUAAAAAAUAACUUAACAAAUAAAGUUUGCUUAGAGAUGCACAGUUUUUAAAUUAUAUCUCAUAUUUAAAUUUAUAAAGCUCUCAGUCUUUUGUUAUAAUUUUCCUUUUUCAUGUGAGUUUAAUUAUCUGCAUUUAUCUUUUUUCCUAGUUUUUCUAAUACUAAUGUUAUUUCUUAUAUUCAGUAAGAUAUGGGAUAAAAUAAUGCUUUUGGAAGAAUGUUUAAUAGAAAAUUAAAAUAGCUCUUCCUGG
Non-coding RNA from Microcebus murinus (gray mouse lemur), 1420 nucleotides. The record is from RefSeq and is a predicted model, not a curated record. NCBI's taxonomy places the organism in Eukaryota, Metazoa, Chordata, Mammalia, Primates, Cheirogaleidae.